AAACGUAGGAGGCAAGCGUUAUCCGGAAUUACUGGGCGUAAAGCGUUCGUAGGCGGCUUUGUAUGUCGGAGGUGAAAUCCCCAGGCUCAACUUGGGAACUGCCUCCGAAACUGCAGGGCUGGAGCACAUCAGAGGAUGAUGGAAUUCCCGGUGUAGCGGUAAAAUGCUUAGAUAUCGGGAGGAACACCUGUGGCGAAGGCGGUCAUCUGGGGUGUUGCUGACGCUGAGGAACGAAAGCCAGGGGAGC
This 247-nucleotide ribosomal RNA is filed under the name uncultured bacterium. RNAcentral describes it as "partial 16S ribosomal RNA". It matches the Rfam family "Bacterial small subunit ribosomal RNA", at positions 523 to 769 of the family's 1533-position model. The record is from RNAcentral.